GGGCAGGAUAGGUGAAGUAGGCCCACCCGCACGCGGGUGGGCCUACUUCACUGUCCCUUAUUCGCACCUGCGGUGCUCAACGGAAAUUCUGCUCUGCGAGGCC
Molecule: non-coding RNA, 103 nt
Organism: Xanthomonas fragariae
Lineage: Bacteria; Pseudomonadati; Pseudomonadota; Gammaproteobacteria; Lysobacterales; Lysobacteraceae
Source: Rfam